CCAUCGUGUGGCAUUACUGUCUUCAGACAUCUCUUGAUCUCUUUGACUACUUCACGAAAAUUGUAAUACGCCUCGCCAGUGGCGGAUUCAAAGGUGAGGAGAGGAGCUGAUGUUAUUGGUCAAUACAGGUCUCAGCUGUGUUAAACCCACUCUAUGCCCUCUCUCCUCCCGCGCUACGACUUAUGCCGCUGGGAGGAGCUUAGUUAGGGAGGGGGGAUACUUACGCCGGGCUGCGCCGUUCACCAAAAUACCAAAAUGUGCUUGGGAACGCCUCAUCGGCGCAGCGGACCUGACUUACGCCGCCCCUGCACCACGUCUCCGUCGAAGGACGAAAAUAGAGCCCUUAUUGUUAGGGAAGGAGGACACCCUGAGGGAAAUGUCAUGUUUGAGAAGUGUGUAGUGCAAACUAUAAUGCAUUUCAUCACACUUAUCUGAUGCAAAAUAAAGAAAUGCAGCAAAUGGUGAAACCAACAUGUUCUUGCUCAUAAUGCUGCAGUCACAGCAAGGCAAUUAGAAAACCUUGGCCCCUGUGUUUGAUGUGAAUUUAAAUCUCUAGGAUUUAGAUAAUUCCAUGGCUAAUAAUCCCCAAAUUGUGCUGUCUUAAAUUUAUGUCUACUCAUUUGUUACAUUUUUGUUUACCGGGGCAACAAUUACUGCGAGCACAGUUUGACAUCUUAUUGUGGCAUCUGAAAUAAAAAAAGCAAGCACACGCUUACACAGCUGCUCUUAUAAGACUCACAGUUUUUUUGUUGUUGUUGCCAACUGUAAUGACUCAUCAUUUAUCUGUAAACAAAACUUGUAUGACAUUUAAUGAUGUUACAAAGACAAGCUUCAAGCAAAACUAAAAAUGUAAUUUCAUAGUAGACUGCUUAUAAAGAGCUCAUACUCCAUGCAGGGUGUCUGGCUAAGUUCAUUAGGUGAUAGCAGGGGGUGCACUAUUUGAAAGCCUCCUAUCUGGGGAGAAAGCACUCAGAGCUUCUACUUAAAUAACAGUAAUAAUAGCCGAGAUAAAAAUACCCCACCCAGUGUCAGAGUAAUGCGUUCAAAAUUUUACUGAAGCAGAAGCACAAUCUAUUGUAUAUUAGACCGUAUUAAGAGUACCUGAAAUGUUUGUUGGCUUUUAUCCAUUAUUGUACAUGAAGUCGCUUAGCACUCACUCAAACUGUGACAAAUAGCCCCAUCCAGCUUACCAAAACACACAUUUAACUCACUGAUACAUCAGUGAUCUUUCAGGGAGGUGGGGUCAAUAGCAGAAAUUUGAGGCACGCAUGUUAGGCCUAAGAAGAUAUGAUGAUUCCCAUGUUUGGUAUGUUCCUCUCACAGACUGGAAUGGACGCCAUCUGCCUCCUUGCUGGGUGAAGCCAUCGUGAGAACAGCACCCUCUGGUGACGGGCUGCAGUAUAGUUCAUAAAUCCCACCUCCUUCAGCAAUCCCUAUGAAGCUGUAGACAAAUUUUGGAAAUUAAUUACACAGAAUGUAUUUUUUUCUCUCCCCUGCUUAUGAUGUUGACAUGUAGUUACUGUAAGACUGGUUUGUGCUCAAGUCCUCUUUUUUCUGUGCAGCUCCAUUUUUAAAAGUUGUUAGGGGGUUCACAUUUUCUAUGAUUGACAUUUGAUACAGCCUAUGGGUGUACGAAGAUUGCGUAGCUCACGCUGGGGAUAUACUGUUUGAGCCGGGCGCCGAAUGCGUACAAUGCUUCUGCACAAGAGGUGGUUCCAAGAAGUGGCAAAAAUCCCAGAAAUACCAAGAACAAUUCAGCUUCAAAUUCAUGUAAUGAUGGAAGGAAGAGCCAAGUAUAUCCAUAGUAUAUACACUCUAUAGUUCCUCCUCUGCUAAUCUGAAACAAAAGGUUGCAGGAGCUGUCUAUCAGUUAUAAUUUCAUAUCUAAAUAACCAAUUAGAACUAAACUCACCAGAAAGAAUUUCGACAACAACAGAGACUACAUUUUCAGAGAUAUUCAUCUAAAGUCUGUUUUAAACUUGUAGUUUGACCAAUGUCCCGUCUGUUGACAUGAAAAAGGUAAGGCUAUGACCCAUACUGCAGCCAGUCAGCAGGGGGAGUUCUAAAUCUUUUGGCUUUACAGUUAAUGAACACAUGUCUGAUUUAUUUUGAUGUGCUCACACAUGGUUCAUGUCUGUAUUACAAAGGCAGAACUGUGGGGCAAAGUCAGUCCACCUUUGACUCACUGUGGGAGCUGGGAACAGAGGCACAAUGGGGGGGAUGGUUAGCAUGUCACAAUGCGUAGUAUUGGAGUCAACAAUACAAAAUAAUAGGGUUGUGUGUGUAUGUGCAUGUCUGAGUGUGAGCGCAUGUGGCGCUCCUGCUGUGUGUUUGCACGCUGUGCCUCUCGCGCUUCCACAAUACUGUACUGGAAUGUGAAAUCACAGAGUGGUGCACCAAUAUUACACCACAACGGAGGUCAGUGUGAAGAACAUAGGCGUGACAAGUUUUGCUAAAUGAGAAUGACAACUUUUAAAAAAGUGUUUGUGUAGGGACAACAACAACAACUCCAAAAGUAAAAGCUACCACUCCACAUGAAGAACUUUCCAUCUGUAUGUUAGAGGAGGAACAGUGAGGAGAGUGACCCCCUUCAAGUUUUUGGACACACAAGCUGUAUCUUUCAGGGCUUCAUGUGGAUUUCAAACACUGUGUCUCUGCUGAAGAAGGCUCAGCGGCAUCUCUCCUUCCUGAGGGCAUUAAGAAAAACGAACCUGUCUCAGCAUCAGCAUCUGUCCUUCUACCACCACUCCAUCAAAAGCAUAAUCACCCACGGCAUCCUGGUGUGGUAUGCUCACUGCACCAUAGCUGAGAACAAAAAAACGCUGCCAAGAGUUAUCAACUCAGCACAGAGGACAACUGACACACAGCCCCAUUCUCCUGAAGACAUUUACAAAACCUGAUGUGCACACCAAGCCAAUAAGACUCAUCACACCCUAGGAAUCACCUGUUGCCUGCUGAAAGGCAAAACCCCUCUAUAAAGACCCACACUGCAGUUUCACUCUGGAUGUCUCCAAAAAGCUGAACUUGAUUCCAAAAGUUUUAAGGUCAUGUAAAUAUUUACUCCAAGGCUAUACACAAAAGAGGAGCAACAACUCGUGACUUCUCUUUGGACAGUGCAGUAUUGGCUGUAAAUCUUUUGUUAUUUAUUGCCUGUGUUUAUGUUUUAAUGUGCUGAAUGAUGCUGCUGUAUAUUGUAUAAUGUGUGCCAAUUAUUUGAUUUAAAGCAAUGCAUUCCUUUGCAUUUACCCUGAUCCAACGUACAGGCAGAAUAAUAGAGGCUGGCAGUCAGAGGAAAAUCUUACUGCACAGUGUUGACAGGCUGUGCUGUCAGUGUGAUGAGGGAGCUGUAGAGACAGAAUUACACCUUCUAACAGAAUGUCAGGACUACAAAAAAUAUUAGACAGGUGUUCUCUCCAAAGUAAAAGUCCAAAAAAAGUGGCAUCAACCCCUUUCUCUGUCUUUUCUGGCUACAGGAGAAUGGUCAGAGACAGAUAAAAGACUAUUAACUGUGAUUUGGCAUCACAUUUGUGAUUUUAGGAAAAUAACCACACUUACUGAAAGUGAAUUAUAAUGUGAUAGAACAAAAACAUGCACUGGUCUCAGGUUAACCUCUGUCUAGCUGCAGGUCCUGUAGGCGUAUCAGGCAAAUGUUUAAUUUGACUAAGAUGGAGACAAGCUGGAGGUUUAAACUGCAAGAUGUUUUAUUUUUGUUCACAUGAUUAAUCAUUGUCUAUUCACUAUCUGACACACAGACGUGUUCAUAGGAAAACGUACAUACGAGGACUGUGGAGUGUGAAAUAUUCAUGCACUGUCUGGGCCGAUAAACUGUCAAAAUCAGACUGAAGGUUCAGUCAAGUGUUACGAAAAUUCGUCAGCGAGGAAUAAGAGGUUAAAGUGGGGAUGUAACUGUAUUGAGCAUGUUUUUGCACGCUCUUAUCUGGAGUCUUAAAUGGGCAGAUUUCUGAAAUAAAGCAGUAAUAUCUGGUUUAAUGAAUUCAUGAGAUGGAGGAAGAAAAGUUUUGUGCAUGCGCUGCUUUCGCCCAGCUUGUGCUUCCUGCCAGAGAGCGAAAGCCCACUUUGGAAGCGGAUCUGGCUUCAUCAGGGUAUUCAUGACAAGUCUUACUGAUUUUCUGUCACCUUCAAAACUGUUCCAUCUUUCACUGACAGGCAAAGUCUUCACCUAAUGUCGUCAAACUGCUUCUAAUCAUAGUACCAUCUUAUUACUGUGCCAUUGUCAUGCUGUACAGAAGCUGCUUACUCUCACUAAGGUUUCAUGUCUAUUCUGUGAUUCAAAAAGACACAAUUAGGAUUGCUCAGUGACUCAGUGGAGUCAACCUUGUUGUUGCUAAUUAGUUUUUCCUUAUCUCGACAUUUGUGAAGAUUACAGAGCAAAAUUAAUGAGUUACAACCAUAGUUUAGUGGUCUGUGUGUUACCGAUUUGAAGUCCAUAAAAUCAGCCAGUUUAAUGUUUUACAGCUAAUGAAUGAUUAUCUGUUUCAAAUAAAACACCAGCUGUAGAAUCAGAAUUGUUAAUGCUUAGUGGUAAAUUGGACAAAUGUUUUAUUCAGAUUUAAGAACCAUCAAUGACCGCAAAAUGUAUCAACUACAUUCGUAAUUGUUCCCCUUCCACCACACUUGAUACCAGCAUUAAACACUGUAUAGAUGUUCUUUAUCAAAAACACUUGGUCUUGAUGUUAUUAAGGCUCGCAUCAGUAAAAUAAAGCUA
Xyrichtys novacula (pearly razorfish) is the source of this 4726-nucleotide non-coding RNA. The record is from the annotation of a GenBank genome assembly. NCBI's taxonomy places the organism in Eukaryota, Metazoa, Chordata, Actinopteri, Labriformes, Labridae.